This 314-nucleotide ribosomal RNA is filed under the name Enchenopa sp. 'Campylenchia' CPL-2004a. Its description in RNAcentral is "partial 12S small subunit ribosomal RNA". Lineage: Eukaryota; Metazoa; Arthropoda; Insecta; Hemiptera; Membracidae. The record is from RNAcentral.
CCAGAAAAAAAUGAGUUAAGUUCUUUAUAACUCAAAGAAAUUGGCGGUUAGUAAUAAUUUCAGAGGAACCUGUAUAUUAAUUGAUAAACCACGAUAGUUUGAACCUUAUUGUUAUUUGUAUAUCUCUAUAUGUUAGGAAUGUUUUUUUUGGAUUAAUUUUCUUUUAGAUUUUUCUUAAAUUUUAGGUCAAGGUGCAGUUUUAAUUAGGUUUAUAUGGGUUAUUAUAAUUUUAAGUUUUUGAUUAAUUUUGUUUUUGAUAAUAAUUAUAUUUAGGAUUUGAUAGUAAUUUGAAUUAAUUAAUUUUUUUGAAUUUU